AGAGCUAUGCUAUGCUAAUCUAAUCCUUGAUUUGGUGGGUUACAACACACAGACUAGCAGAAAUUUGUGCAGAAUUGUUUACAUCUAUAGCAUUCAACACCAAAUUCAAGAAUAAUCAAGAUAAACACAACUUGACCUUUCAAAUGUUGGUUUAGAGAGUAAACUCAUGUGGAUUUCAAUAGUGUGGUGUGUGUGGCUGGGAAUUUCAUUUUUUAUGGAUCGACGGGUCUUGGAUGAUCAGCUGUUGUUGAUUAGUGGAUCUAUCUUCUUUCUUGGGGGUUGUCUAACCCUGUACUAUUUUCAAGGCGUGUGAAAUUUGCUGGGUGUUUGGUUCUUUCAUACAUCGGCUUGCUUUGUGAUUGGCUAGGUUGUUGCUGUGUUGUUGUUGUGAUGGUUUCCAGGCAUGGCUUUAGGUCAUACAUGGGUUUGGAAUUGAAAUGCAAGUUGUUGUCAUUAUCAUGAUUGUGCAUUAAAUGCACUCUUCCACUUUGUGUUGGUUUGUCAUCAAUCAUGACUUGGGAGAGCUGCGGUUUUUGGCUUGGACAUGACAUGUUUUUUUCUCUCAUGAAGUUUGGUUGGUGUUUCAAGUUGGUUGGUCUCUCUAGGAACUGUUCAUUCCCGAUUCUCAUGAAACUAGAUGCGUUUUUUUCCCUUGCUCAUUCUUUAGCACAAUUUGUGUUUGUCAUUUUAGUCUUAUUCUUCAGUAUUUUCCUAUGCAGCUAGGCUGCACCUUUUUUAAAUUCAAUUUGUACAUGAUUUAUAGGCACCCCUCUCAUUUUGCUUUGAAGAUGGUGUGAGAUAGGCUUGGUGUUUUUGAGAGAGGCCUUCCCAACCAUUACUCUCAACUCUUCCACUGUCAAUUUCUUUCCCAAUUGCAGUUCCCUGUGUGUUGCUUAACAGGAUUAGUUUGCCUCUGCGUCGGUGCCCUUGGUAACCUAUUAGGUUUGCGGAUUCUUUAUCUUAUGUAACUCACCUCACUUUCUUUCACUUGCAUCUACUAUGUUGCCUUGCUUUGUUUAUUUUCCAAUAUGGAUUUUUUUUUGUUUUCUGCCGUUGCGCUAAAUUGUUUUGGGUGUAUAUCGUUCCCUGUGUUGUUUUGUUGCUUCGAUUUAAGGAUGCGUUGUGUAUUUUCUUUCCUCCUUUGUUAAAUGGCUUCCUUUUCUGCCUGCGCUGCUUUCACUGUUACUUUUGCUUUUCUUCUUGCAAAUUACUUUGCUUUUCCACCCUACAUUUUUUCUCUGUCAUUCUUUUUUGUUUGGCUUCUUAUUUAUAUAUUGUUGUCAUGGGCUUUGAUAUUUUCCCUCAAGGUUAAUUCUUAGUCGAUCUCUCUGGUCGCCUUUUUAUGGAUAUUAUCAUUGUGUCGUUCUUUUCUCUUCCACGGGGCCUUCUUGGUUAGGAGCAAGGUUGUCUUGCUGGUGGUCUCACUCUUUUCAGAAGAGCUUUAACAACUGAUUGUGCCUUACUCGGCAAGUUUCUCUUUUUCAAGGUGUUUUAGGAACAUCGCCAUGUCAUCUCUUUGUUUGUUUGGCUUCCCAAAUCUUAUUUUUUUGGUUUUUUAACAGCCUUUCAUACCUUCGUUUCAAGGGUGCUUUUUAAGACCUUACCAUUUGUUUCGUGUUGGUCUGUUCUUUUUUAUGUCAUCCUUCUCUUUGCAUUGAAUUUGGUUUGGAACCUAUAUUUAUUUUUCUUUUUGUCAUCUCUAUGCAUGCUUCUGGUCUGAAUUUCUGGUGGCUCCUCACUACUCUAUCAAUGAUUUGUACCAUUUGCGCUCACCUUGAGUGCUGCAAGGUUUUCUCAUUUGGUUUACUGCCUUUUUUGGUAGUUUUCCUUGCAUUGAUAUUGUGUGUUUGCAUCCCUUCCUGCUCCCCUUCCCCUACAGUCGAUUGGAUUACUGUUAUGCUCAAGAGAUCCUCCUUGAUGCAUUUGGCUUUGACUUUUGUCCUUUACACUCUUUUUUAAUAUAGUUUUUUUUCUGUCCCUCUGCCUUGCAAUUUCCAGCGCUGGGCUGGUUUGGUUUACUUCGAUACUAUUUGGUUUGGCUUUGCUUCUCUUUUAGAAGCCUUUCCAUCGAUUUGGGGGCAGCCUCCAUUGACAAAUCUUUUUAUUCUUUGAUGCCCCCCCCCCCCCCCCCCGGAAAAUGUUUUUCCAGAUUCGAGCCUUGUUUCAAUUCUUCUUUUUUGUCUUUUGUUAUACCAGGGAUUUAGUUGGUCAAGGCUAUUAAUCUAGCCUAUGUGUCCAGUUUUUUUGUUCGAGUUUUGCUUGGUUCUUUUGUUGUGUUGCGUUCUUGGCCAAAAAUGGUGAGAGAUGAGGAUAAAAGACCGCAUGGAUCAAAAGCAAAUUGGUAGGGCAUGUGUGGUCAAUUAGAUGAAUUAAAGCGGCUGUGUAAUUAGAUUAAAAGGCUAUGAGUCUCAACAGGGGUGCAAGGAGAAAAAAGGGGGGGGAGCAGAUGGUUGACACUGACCCUCUCAUUUUCCCUCAUUCUCUCACAUCGCUUCUGCAUAAUGUCCCCAGCCUUAUUAGACAUGGCUGGAAAAGCUAUAGCCAGUCCUUUAUUCUCUCUUAUUUAGUCUCAUGUUCAAGAGAGCAAAAAGAAAUAAGAACCGCAGGCUAAAGCAAAAACCUUCUGAUAACUCUAAGCUCUUAACACUGUAAGAUUCUCAGUUUUUAUCCCUUAGUUUUUUGUGUCGCUUGCAUUUACACGCAAACAAGCAUUCUAAUUUACUGGUUGUGGUCCUGGAUUUUAUUGUGUUUGGAUACUUUUUGCUUUGAUGUCUAGGUUGGUCUAACCUGUACAAGGUGACCCCUCCAAUGCAGGUAUUUUUUUUUCCUUCCCUGCUUCCCGUCUGGUUUGCUUGAUUUUUCUUUUUUCUUCAGUCUGUUAGUUGCUUCGUUCUGACUUGAAUUGUGUUCCCCCCUUGGCACUUCUUUUGUUCAUUUUUUCCUACUAUUUCAAGCAUUCAUUUAAGUUUCUUCAUGCCUUUUCCCUUUGGUUUGCUUCGUUCUGUCUUAUGUUUAUUUGGUAAUGUUUUAGAAGCUUACUAUUUUUUGUUUUUUUGUUGUGCUGAUUUCCUCACGUGUGGGUCUGCUGCAAGCAGUCAUGCAUCUCACCCGCAAACACAGUCCUUUCGCACACCAAAGCUAUGAUACAUUCAUCAGCACUUGCUUUGCACAAUUGUUUUGUGAUGUUCCUGGAAUUAGUCAUCUCAUUUGCUUUGCUUUUUUGAUAAAACAAUGUUGAUUUCAACUACUUUUGCUUGCUUGCGAAUUGGUUGUACUUUUCCAUCUCCUCUGACUUUUGCAGGGGCAAACCCACCACUGCCUUCCUAUAGUGUGCAUGCUUGCUAGCAUUUUUAUUUCACCUACAAUAUUGCUGUGCAACCCCUGUUUUUUAUAACUCUGUCUGUUUGCUCAUGUUGUCCUCAUCAACUGCAUCCACGAACCAUUUUGCAAAGUGGUGGUGGGUGCUAAUCCCAGGUGCCCUUUCGGUUUCGUCAUCGAUUGAUGUGACAAAUAACACACUUAUUUUUGGAUUGGAUCUUCUGUUCCUUUUAGCACACUCAUGACUUUGUUUUCCUUUUGCUUCUGAGCUCAUGCAAUGCUCGGUUUUCACUAUUUUUCCACUUCGUACCUACUCCCAAUAGAGAAGAUUCUUCCACCUGCUUCUGCCUUUAAGUCGUAGCCCUCACGUUUGCUGUUGUUUCCCCUUGCUAUGCUUUGUGUUUCUAUCCUAUUGCUUUGCUGUUGCAAAUUGUGCAUUGAAGUUGCUUUUUUCUUCAGCACCUCUUGCAUGCUUGGCAGUAUUAAUUGCAAUAGCUUUUGUUUUUUUGGGUGCAGGAACGUUAAGGACCUUUUACAGUCGGCUAUUGAGGUCCGAUCAUCUUUGUUGGGGUCUCUGUUUUUUUUUUUUUUUGCUCCUUUGACCUCCUCCCUCGAGGCAACUCCUUCCUUCUCAAAAAAGUCCUCCACGCAGCAAUCCCAGCCUUGGCUUCCAUUGUUUUUCACCUGCACUGCACUCUUUGCGUUCUGUAAAAAAUAUUUAUUAAUUAAUAGCCACUGUUGCUGCUUUGGUUCA
This is a long non-coding RNA of Populus trichocarpa (black cottonwood), 4072 nucleotides long. RefSeq lists it as uncharacterized. NCBI's taxonomy places the organism in Eukaryota, Viridiplantae, Streptophyta, Magnoliopsida, Malpighiales, Salicaceae. The transcript is spliced from 3 exons. The record is from RefSeq and is a predicted model, not a curated record.